Molecule: long non-coding RNA, 247 nt
Organism: Carassius carassius (crucian carp)
Lineage: Eukaryota; Metazoa; Chordata; Actinopteri; Cypriniformes; Cyprinidae
Exons: 2
Source: RefSeq, a predicted model, not a curated record
CACCAGCUGUGGAUAUUACAGGCCAAACUUUGGACACCCUAGGACAACAUCCUUAGCACAGAUCUACCUAUAGCCCUCCAUCAUUCCCACAUCCAUCUUGCAACAGUUUCAUUAAGUGCAGUCCAUAACCAGUUCACGGUCUACACCUUGUCCAUUGCAAAUGUUAUGGAUUAUUCUAAUAGAGAUCUUUCUAUUAUUUUUUUGAGACUGUUAUUAUGUACUCUGUUAUGUUGUGAAUAAAGUCAAC